AGAACGAACGCUGGCGGCAUGCCUAAUACAUGCAAGUCGAACGAAGGCUUCGGCCUUAGUGGCGCACGGGUGCGUAACGCGUGGGAAUCUGCCCCUUGGUUCGGAAUAACAGUUGGAAACGACUGCUAAUACCGGAUGAUGACGAAAGUCCAAAGAUUUAUCGCCAAGGGAUGAGCCCGCGUAGGAUUAGCUAGUUGGUGAGGUAAAGGCUCACCAAGGCGACGAUCCUUAGCUGGUCUGAGAGGAUGAUCAGCCACACUGGGACUGAGACACGGCCCAGACU
This 283-nucleotide ribosomal RNA is filed under the name uncultured soil bacterium. Its description in RNAcentral is "partial 16S ribosomal RNA". It matches the Rfam family "Bacterial small subunit ribosomal RNA", at positions 26 to 337 of the family's 1533-position model. The record is from RNAcentral.